Molecule: ribosomal RNA, 630 nt
Filed under: uncultured Alteromonas sp.
Lineage: Bacteria; Pseudomonadati; Pseudomonadota; Gammaproteobacteria; Alteromonadales; Alteromonadaceae
Description: bacterial SSU rRNA
Rfam family: Bacterial small subunit ribosomal RNA
Source: RNAcentral
CUUGCACAUCGCUGACGAGUGGCGGACGGGUGAGUAAUGCUUGGGAACUUGCCUUUGCGAGGGGGAUAACAGUUGGAAACGACUGCUAAUACCGCAUAAUGUCUACGGACCAAACGGGGCUUUUAGCUCCGGCGCAAAGAGAGGCCCAAGUGGGAUUAGCUAGUUGGUGAGGUAAAGGCUCACCAAGGCGACGAUCUCUAGCUGUUCUGAGAGGAAGAUCAGCCACACUGGGACUGAGACACGGCCCAGACUCCUACGGGAGGCAGCAGUGGGGAAUAUUGCACAAUGGGGGAAACCCUGAUGCAGCCAUGCCGCGUGUGUGAAGAAGGCCUUCGGGUUGUAAAGCACUUUCAGUUGUGAGGAAAGGUUGGUAGUUAAUACCUGCCAGCUGUGACGUUAACAACAGAAGAAGCACCGGCUAACUCCGUGCCAGCAGCCGCGGUAAUACGGAGGGUGCGAGCGUUAAUCGGAAUUACUGGGCGUAAAGCGCACGCAGGCGGUUUGUUAAGCUAGAUGUGAAAGCCCCGGGCUCAACCUGGGAUGGUCAUUUAGAACUGGCAGACUAGAGUCUUGGAGAGGGGAGUGGAAUUCCAGGUGUAGCGGUGAAAUGCGUAGAUAUCUGGAGGAACA